AGUGAACGCUGGCGGUAGGCCUAACACAUGCAAGUCGAGCGGCAGCACAGUAAGAGCUUGCUCUUACGGGUGGCGAGUGGCGGACGGGUGAGGAAUACAUCGGAAUCUACUUUUUCGUGGGGGAUAACGUAGGGAAACUUACGCUAAUACCGCAUACGACCUACGGGUGAAAGCAGGGGAUCUUCGGACCUUGCGCGAUUGAAUGAGCCGAUGUCGGAUUAGCUAGUUGGCGGGGUAAAGGCCCACCAAGGCGACGAUCCGUAGCUGGUCUGAGAGGAUGAUGAGCCACACUGAAACUGAGACACGGUCCAGACUCCUACGGGAGGCAGCAGUGGGGAAUAUUGGAAAAUGGGCGCAAGCCUGCUCCAGCCAUACCGCGUGGGUGAAGAAGGCCUUCGGGUUGUAAAGCCCUUUUGUUGGGAAAGAAAAGCAGCAGGCUAAUACCCCGCUGUUCUGACGGUACCAAAAGAAUAAGCACCGGCUAACUUCGU
This 491-nucleotide ribosomal RNA is filed under the name uncultured bacterium. Its description in RNAcentral is "partial 16S ribosomal RNA". It matches the Rfam family "Bacterial small subunit ribosomal RNA", at positions 29 to 506 of the family's 1533-position model. The record is from RNAcentral.